Molecule: unclassified non-coding RNA, 317 nt
Filed under: uncultured fungus
Lineage: Eukaryota; Fungi
Description: partial contains small subunit ribosomal RNA, internal transcribed spacer 1, and 5.8S ribosomal RNA
Rfam family: Eukaryotic small subunit ribosomal RNA (bases 1-73)
Source: RNAcentral
GCAAACUUGGUCAUUUAGAGGAAGUAAAAGUCGUAACAAGGUUUCCGUAGGUGAACCUGCGGAAGGAUCAUUAACGAGUUAGGGUCUCCUCGGCCCGACCUCCCAACCCUCUGUUUAUUGAACCUCUGUUGCUUCGGCGGACCCGUCUCACGACCGCCGGAGGAGUCGCCGCGAGGCACCCUCUGGCCAGCGUCCGCCGGUAGCCAACCACUUGAAACUCUGAAUGAAUCGUGUCAUGGUGUCUAAGUCUAUGAUUAAAUUAAAGCAAAACUUUCAACAACGGAUCUCUUGGUUCUGGCAUCGAUGAAGAACGCAGC